GAUGAACGCUAGCUACAGGCUUAACACAUGCAAGUCGAGGGGCAGCAUGGUCUUAGCUUGCUAAGGCCGAUGGCGACCGGCGCACGGGUGAGUAACACGUAUCCAACCUGCCGUCUACUCUUGGACAGCCUUCUGAAAGGAAGAUUAAUACAAGAUGGCAUCAUGAGUCCGCAUGUUCACAUGAUUAAAGGUAUUCCGGUAGACGAUGGGGAUGCGUUCCAUUAGAUAGUAGGCGGGGUAACGGCCCACCUAGUCUUCGAUGGAUAGGGGUUCUGAGAGGAAGGUCCCCCACAUUGGAACUGAGACACAGUCCAAACUCCUACGGGAGGCAGCAGUGAGGAAUAUUGGUCAAUGGGCGAGAGCCUGAGCCAGCCAAGUAGCGUGAAGGAUGACUGCCCUAUGGGUUGUAAACUUCUUUUAUAAAGGAAUAAAGUCGGGUAUGCAUACCCGUUUGCAUGUACUUUAUGAAUAAGGAUCGGCUAACUCCGUGCCAGCAGCCGCGGUAAUACGGAGGAUCCGAGCGUUAUCCGGAUUUAUUGGGUUUAAAGGGAGCGUAGAUGGAUGUUUAAGUCAGUUGUGAAAGUUUGCGGCUCAACCGUAAAAUUGCAGUUGAUACUGGAUAUCUUGAGUGCAGUUGAGGCAGGCGGAAUUCGUGGUGUAGCGGUGAAAUGCUUAGAUAUCACGAAGAACUCCGAUUGCGAAGGCAGCCUGCUAAGCUGCAACUGACAUUGAGGCUCGAAAGUGUGGGUAUCAAACAGGAUUAGAUACCCUGGUAGUCCACACGGUAAACGAUGAAUACUCGCUGUUUGCGAUAUACAGCAAGCGGCCAAGCGAAAGCGUUAAGUAUUCCACCUGGGGAGUACGCCGGCAACGGUGAAACUCAAAGGAAUUGACGGGGGCCCGCACAAGCGGAGGAACAUGUGGUUUAAUUCGAUGAUACGCGAGGAACCUUACCCGGGCUUAAAUUGCAGAUGAAUUACGGUGAAAGCCGUAAGCCGCAAGGCAUCUGUGAAGGUGCUGCAUGGUUGUCGUCAGCUCAUGCCGUGAGGUGUCGGCUUAAGUGCCAUAACGAGCGCAACCCUCGUUGUCAGUUACUAACAGGUUCUGCUGAGGACUCUGACAAGACUGCCAUCGUAAGAUGUGAGGAAGGUGGGGAGGACGUCAAAUCAGCACGGCCCCUACGUCCGGGGGUACACACGUGUUACAAUGGGGGGUACAGAGGGUCGCUACCACGCGAGUGGAUGCCAAUCCCAAAAACCUCUCUCAGUUCGGACUGGAGUCUGCAACCCGACUCCACGAAGCUGGAUUCGCUAGUAAUCGCGCAUCAGCCACGGCGCGGUGAAUAAAAGGGCGGGCCUUGCACA
This 1364-nucleotide ribosomal RNA is filed under the name uncultured bacterium. RNAcentral describes it as "bacterial SSU rRNA". It matches the Rfam family "Bacterial small subunit ribosomal RNA", at positions 28 to 1387 of the family's 1533-position model. The record is from RNAcentral.